GAACGUCCUCUGGUUUUUCGGAACCAGAGGGAGUGGCGGACGGGUGAGUAACACAUGGGUGACCUACCCCACAGUGAGGAAUACCGGCGAGAAAUCGCCGACAAGACCGCAUACGCUCGGCCUGGUAGAGCGGAGCGAGCAAAGUGUCGCUCGUGAGAGCGAGACGCUGAGGGAGGGGCCUGUGGCCGAUUAGCUGGUUGGUGGGGUAAAAGCCUACCAAGGCGACGAUCGGUAGCUGGUCUGAGAGGACGAACAGCCACACUGGGAUUGAGAACGGCCCAGACUCCUACGGGGGGCAGCAGUGAGGAAUUUUCCGCAAUGGGCGCAAGCCUGACGGAGCAACGCCGCGUGCAGGAGGACGCUUUUCGGAGUGUAAACUGCUUUUCUGUGGGACGAGAGUGGACGGUACCACAGGAAGAAGCCCCGGCUAACUACGUG
This 438-nucleotide ribosomal RNA is filed under the name uncultured bacterium. Its description in RNAcentral is "bacterial SSU rRNA". It matches the Rfam family "Bacterial small subunit ribosomal RNA", at positions 64 to 507 of the family's 1533-position model. The record is from RNAcentral.